Molecule: non-coding RNA, 355 nt
Organism: Sulfobacillus acidophilus TPY
Lineage: Bacteria; Bacillati; Bacillota; Clostridia; Eubacteriales; Clostridiales Family XVII. Incertae Sedis
Source: Rfam
GGGGGCGAACUAGAUUCGACGGAGAUGGACGGGGUGCCGGAUAGCGAGCCGAGCUCUGUGUCUCGAUAAUCCACAGGACACAAUAAGUGCCAACGAAGACUCUUACGAAUACGCUUUAGCUGCUUAAUCCCAGCUAACGUUUGACGAUCAGGCGCCUAUCCCUCGUCGCCAAACGUAAAAAUCGAUAGGCUACCGAUGCGACGGCCCGAUCGCAUGCGGGACAUGAAGGGCUGGCAGGACGUCACCGAGCUUCAGACGGGGAUGUCACGCGAGAACAAAAUCUGAAGCUACGCUCGUAGAAGUCCGGUAUAACGUGUCUUCGGACGGGACGGGCAGCACGUCCCCGCCUCCACCA